RNAcentral lists this long non-coding RNA (203 nucleotides) under Phoenix dactylifera (date palm). Its description in RNAcentral is "long non-coding RNA (PDAC_LNC013595)". Lineage: Eukaryota; Viridiplantae; Streptophyta; Magnoliopsida; Arecales; Arecaceae. The record is from RNAcentral.
GCGACUCCGAUGAUGAAUGGUUUGAAUCCUUAUUUUUCUGUUUAUCUGAGAGAGUCGUCUCUGCACUUUACCGGGACGUCUCGGCUUGUCUGCGCUUUUUGCAUGGGGACGACUCCGCUGUUUCGGGGACGACUCCGCCGUUAUAACUCCGAAAAACAUAUCUUCUGGAUUUCUCUGAGAGAGUUGACUCCGCUCUUUCAGGG